Arabidopsis thaliana (thale cress) is the source of this 304-nucleotide long non-coding RNA. RefSeq annotates it as other RNA. The record is from RefSeq. The transcript has a single exon. Lineage: Eukaryota; Viridiplantae; Streptophyta; Magnoliopsida; Brassicales; Brassicaceae.
GGGAGCCCUUCCAGAAAUUCUCAAAGGCCAUAGGUCAAGCCCAGGCCCAUGAGGGGGUUUGGAAAUAGUUUUCAACCAGCAAUAGACGCGCCUCGGUUAGUACCUCAUUAGCUGCGUCAUUAUAGCACUAGCUUUUGAGGAUGUGAGAUUUUUUUUAUAGCACUAGCUUUUUGUGCUCUAAAGUCACACAAGCGAUGUGGGACAAAAUAGACGCACACCAUUAUACUCCAGUUUUGGGCCUCAAAAUAUGGGCCUCGGAAACACUUGCUACUUAAUUAUCCGCUUUAUCGGGUUCUCUUCAUUU